GAAAUGCGAUAAGUAAUGUGAAUUGCAGAAUUCAGUGAAUCAUCGAAUCUUUGAACGCACCUUGCGCUCCUUGGUAUUCCUUGGAGCAUGCCUGUUUGAGUAUCAUGAAAUCUUCAAAGUAAAUCUUUUGUUAACUCAAUUGGUUUCUACUUUGGUAUUGGAGGUCUUUGCAGCUUCACACCUGCUCCUCUUUGUUCAUUAGCUGGAUCUCAGUGUUAUGCUUGGUUCCACUCGGCGUGAUAAGUUAUCUAUCGCUGAGGACACUGUAAAAGGUGGCCAAGGUAAAUGCAGAUGAACCGCUUCUAAUAGUCCACUGACUUGGACAAUACUUUUAUGAUCUGAUCUCAAAUCAGGUAGAACUACCCGCUGAACUUAAGC
RNAcentral lists this unclassified non-coding RNA (378 nucleotides) under plant metagenome. RNAcentral's name for it is "partial contains 5.8S ribosomal RNA, internal transcribed spacer 2, and large subunit ribosomal RNA". The stretch from base 1 to 105 matches the Rfam family "5.8S ribosomal RNA", at positions 50 to 154 of the family's 154-position model. The record is from RNAcentral.